GCAAACCCCAGUGAGGACGAUCCGAGAAAGAGACAAAAGAAGCAGAGAAAGGAUUGCAGGAUCCUGGACCGGGCUGUUGAGGAUAGUCUGGUGGAGUUUUUCCGCAAAAACGAACUGCUGCUUUCUGGAACUUCCAUAGGUCACAAAGAAGCCGCAGACUAUUUCACCUGACUCAGGCUGAGAGGUGUGGUGCAGAAGAGAUCACAGCCAACAACAGGGUAUCAGGGAACAGGAGGCUAUUCCAGCUCACUUUGGGGAAAAAAGCAGCACCC
Syngnathoides biaculeatus (alligator pipefish) is the source of this 272-nucleotide long non-coding RNA. RefSeq lists it as uncharacterized. The record is from RefSeq and is a predicted model, not a curated record. NCBI's taxonomy places the organism in Eukaryota, Metazoa, Chordata, Actinopteri, Syngnathiformes, Syngnathidae. The transcript has 3 exons.